Molecule: long non-coding RNA, 483 nt
Filed under: Gossypium raimondii (Peruvian cotton)
Lineage: Eukaryota; Viridiplantae; Streptophyta; Magnoliopsida; Malvales; Malvaceae
Description: long non-coding RNA (GRAI_LNC006206)
Source: RNAcentral
UUGGUGGUGGUAAAAAGAGGUUGUCGAUUGGUGGAGGAGAAAAAAGGAAAAUGGCGGUGGUGUGGUGUUAAACAGUUAGGGUCUUUUUCCUUAUGGAGAAGAUGAAGAAGGAAAAGAGUUUUGGGAUUUGGGUGUUUUAUUUUGUUCAUUUUCUUUGUUCUUUUUUUUUGUGGCCAGUUUGGGCCCUAUUGUCCCUUUCUUUUGUUUUUUUUUUCCUUUCUUUUGGCCAAUUUGGUUGUUCGGCCCAAUUUCCUUCCCUUUUUCUCUUUUUUUUUCUUUUGGGUUUCGUUAGGCUUGUUAGGGGGUUUUGGGUUUGUUUUGGGUUUUGGGUAUUGUGUGAGUUUUUUUUUUCAUUUGGGUUGGUAUUUGGGUAUGGGGUUGGUAGGUUAAAUGGAUUUGGGUUUUGGGAUUAUUAUUUGGGUUAAGGGUGUUGGGUUUUUUUUAUAGUUAAAUAAUUGUUAGUAUUUAGCACGUCGUGCCCAC